This is a non-coding RNA of Picea glauca (white spruce), 127 nucleotides long. The record is from Rfam. Lineage: Eukaryota; Viridiplantae; Streptophyta; Pinopsida; Pinales; Pinaceae.
GUAUGUACAUUCCUACAAAAAAACGUCAAUGCACCAGAUCCCAUUAGAACUCCAUAGUUAAUUGUGCCCGAGAUAGAGUAGUACUGAGAUGGGCGACCUCCCAGGAAGUCCUAGUGUUUUACAUGCC